Molecule: long non-coding RNA, 11323 nt
Organism: Mirounga angustirostris (Northern elephant seal)
Lineage: Eukaryota; Metazoa; Chordata; Mammalia; Carnivora; Phocidae
Exons: 5
Source: RefSeq, a predicted model, not a curated record
GCGGCCCCCUGUGCCAGCUUCUCAUUGGCUCUGGGCGCGGGAGGCGGGGCCGAGGCCGCCGCCUCCGGGGCCGCGCCGAUUGGCCACGCACCCUGCAGUGCCGUCACUGGCGACUCGCGGCGGGCAGCCCGGCUAGUCGCGGGCGAGGUGGGGCGGGGACUUUGCCGGCCAGCUGGGGCCUGGGGUGACGUCGGGAAGGUGGCGGGAGGGGCUGGCUGGCGGGCCGCGCCGCGCCGCGCCGCGCCGAGGGGCGUGUGAGGUCCGGCUGGGGAGGUGGGGCUAGCUUCAGAGCGCGGGAGAUUUCGGCGCCGCGGGCUGUCCGGCCUCCUCCUCUGCCGCCUGCUAGCCCCUCCCCGCGGCCCGCGGAGUGCCCCCCAGCGCCAGCCCCCUAGGUCUCUGGAACCCUAAACCCCCACUCCCCUGGGAGGAGCUCCUGUGAAGCCCACUUCCCACUUAAAUUCCACUCCCGGGUUCACAGGCUUCUUCAUCUGUCAGACCCUCCGACCUCCCCCAGGACUAUGACUCAAGCCGCCCCUUCCUCCCGCGGUGCUCACCAGUGACUCACACCUUCGGCUUGUCCGGCAGAGGUGUUGCUCAGCCCUGGGCUCUCCCGCCAGGCCUCCCCUCCCCUCCCCUCCCCAGCCCAGGGUCUUCGGGAGUUGUCCACGUAGCGCUUGUGUCUCCAGCCCCUCCCCACCCAGGAUCCGAGACUAUUCCUUGAAUUCCUUGUUUUGGGGUCCCAUUCUUUAAAUGAUCGGGAGGAGUUGGGAGAGAUAACCCCUCCCUAAAGCAACACUGGUUUGCAGAGCUGAUCUAAAUGUUUAUGGGUUCCUACCGGUACUGAGGGGCGCAGAGACCUGAUUUCAAUAGCAUGAACAAUACACCCAAUCUUCCUUUACUACUGGAGCUGCCCAAAUCGGAGAAAUCAGUGUUUAAAUCAAAGGGCACUUCUCUUGAGCCCCUACCGAGUCCAGUGUUUUGAGCUAAGGGUGAUAGUGAAGAAAAGAAUUCAUUUUUGCCUCUAAAGGACAGUGGUAGGAAGGAGGUUCCACAUUAGGUGAGAGAGUACUACACUUCGGGCAGCCCGUAGGGAAUUUAAUUUCCUAUUGGCUAUCCUGAAGUUCUGCUCUCUGGAAAUUUACUUAAAACAUUUGCUUUUAAGUGAAUGAUUUUAAGCUUUAGCUGUAUGUUAGAAUCCAGGCCAGUGGGUCCAGAAUCUCUGGGCUGAGACCCCGGGAUCGCUAUGCAAUUGUGAUUGCCAGCCAAGAUCUUUUAAAGGAUUCUAACGAAUUGGUGGAGAAAACUCCCUUAGAAAGUUUUAGCUGUGUCAGUGAUGCGUUCUUGACAAGAGGUCUACAGACCUAUCUUUGUAGAAUUGAUGUUUCUUAGAUGUGACAAUUUGUUGUUCUUAUGACACAUUAUUUCUUUAAAGAUAGACUGUUAUGUAGAUUAAUUUGGGGUAGUUCUUUUUUUUUUUUUUGCUUGAUAUUUAUUUAUUUAGGUCAGCGGUGGUCAUGUCUGGAUUCUGAGGAGUCUUUUUCCUCACUCAAAAUUAUUAAGAUUUUAGGAAUUACUUACCAAAACCAUUUUAUGACUAGGUUACCAGGGAAAUAAGAUGACCUGUCUAGAGGCUUGCUUAGGUAUGGCCUGAUCUCCAGUUACUUUUUAAAAAUCUGUGGUAUGUGUUUUAUUGGCAAUGACUCUGUAGAUUACAUAUAUUUGUUUAAUAAUUAUUAAAUAAUAGAAAUUCCAACGUAAGUCUACAGAUAUGUCAAGGUAGGGAGCUUGUGUUUUUGGUGAGGCAAAGCAUAAACUUAUUAUUUCAGGUUAUAAAUAAAACAAGUUAAUGGUGACAUCAACUGCUAGAAUAUGAAAUGUCAGCCUACCCUUAUUUUAAUAUUGUAAGUUUCCAGUCAAAAGGGAAGGAGAUUUUUAAGGGUAAGGAAUAAAGAGAUCCCCAAAUGGGAGAAAUUUCUGUAAACUUGGGGUGAUUAUCAGCCAUCCUGACAACUGAGACCAGUUCUGGUGUCCAGGAAGCCUCCAAAGUGGGAACUGCAUUUUCAACAGCAGGCCUGCCAGUUUGGAGAGUUCCUAAUGCUCAGCCUUUUGGGAAUUUAUGGCACUUAGAAACCCAUUUCCCAUGGAGAGAGUCCUGUUUGUUUUAUGAGUAUUCUCUCCCCAUAAGAAAAUAGCUCGGAUAUUGUAUAAUGGCAGCCCAUAGGAAUAUAGGUUUAUUUCCCAAGGAGAUUAGAUGUUGGAAGGUAAAGAACCUUGAACUUGAGUUGAGUGAAUUUGGGUAUUUGGUCUCCUACUACUUAUGUACACUUGAGUGAGCACUUAAUGUCUCUAAGCCUCGAUUUCUCAUCUAUAAAAUGGAAUAAUAAUGGCUGUUAAGAUAUGAUAUUAAUCACAACAGUUCUGACAUUAAAUUAUUUGGAAAUGAAAUGGAGGGGUGGAAAACCUUAAGUUUUGUUCACUCCCGAUUAGCUGUCAUUGCUUUGGCCCAGUUAACUGUGAACAGCCAGCUCCUGAUACCUUUCACUUCAGCUUAUUAGACCUGACCCUACCUCUGUUAAAUUCUGGGGGCAUAUUUGCUCAGAGCAUUUACAACCCCUUGUGAAAAAGGGUGAGGUUGGGAAAAUGGAAGACUUGAAGUUUCUCUCAACUAGGACAUGAAAUCUAGGUAAUUUAGUGUUUUUUUUUUAAGAUUAUUUUAGAGAGAGAGGGAGUAGGGAGAGGGGCAGAUGGAGAGAAUCUUCAAGCAGACUUCCCGCUGAGUGCAGAGCCCCACAUGGGGCUUGGGGCUCGAUCUCACAAACCCUGAGGUCAUGACCUGAGCCAAAAUCAAGAGUUGGUGCUUAAUUGACUGAGCCACCAAGGUGCUCUGGUAAUUUGGGAUUUUUGUUGUUCGUCAGAAGGUACUGCACAGCCUGGUCAUGACCUAUUUAUCAUAAUACAGGAGGCAAGACUCCUUAACGAGAGAGCAUCAGAAUCUUCUUCAGUCAUCUGCCACUUAAUGUAGCUGCCAACAUAAAAUGAUGGCUGUCUCUGCUUGUCACCUGCUCUCAUCAUCUGGUUUGCUGUGCUUUGGAAACCAGGCAGGGGUGAUGGCAGUGAGGUGUCCUCGUGGCUUUUUGCUCAAGGAUCCUACCAAGAAUCCCAAACCAGAACUUUUGCAGCUUAAGAAUCACUGACUGAAUUAUAAGAAGGUGCUGGCUGACCUUGGCUGCCAUGGCUGAACUUCGGGCAUUACAAACCUACACCAAAGACUGGAUUCAGGGGAAUGUCUGUUGAUUUGUUCAGCAGCAGGCACAACAAGUGCAAGAAUAGUUGAGUAGGAAGCAUCACAGUAGAUAAAGUAGGCUCCACACCCAGCUUGGAACCCAACGCAGGGCUUGAACUCACAGCCGUGAGAUCAAGACCUGAGCUGAGAUCAAGAGUCGGAGGCUUAACUGACUGAGCCACCCAGACGCCCCAAGAAUACACAAUUUUCAACAAUGCUGUAGUAUUUCACUUGAUCUGAGGCCAGGCCAGCUCUGGAGACACACAGUAACGUGAGCACAGAGUCGUCAAUAUGAUUUGCUUCAAUCGUUGAAUUCUGACAUAAUCCUGAAUUUUGAAAAAAAAUUGCUGCCUCCAGUUUUAUCUUUGGAAAGUGAGAUUUUUUUUUGCAGGUCAUGGCCAGACUUUGGUAGUGUUGAGUCAAGAUGUAUUGAAAGUUAAACCGAGAACGCCUUCUGGAGAUGGAGACUGUAAGGUCUGGGACUCGAUCCUUCCCCACUUACAAGCCAGUAAGCGAGCUUAUUGCUGUUUCGAGAGUGCUGACAGUACACACAGAGUGCUGGGGCUGAGAUGGAACACUUUCUAUUCGUGGCAGAGCAAGCAGCUCGAGCAUUAGCACAUUUGCUUCGGUUCUCCUUGCCUUUAAGUCCUGGGGUCAGUGUGGUAUGGCCCAGAUGAACGCUCUCCAUGCAGUGGGUUUCAGAUGCACCUGAGAAACACAGAGCUUGGGGGACUCACCACUUUUAUUAUUUUUUUAAAGAUUUUAUUUAUUUAUUUGAGAGAGAGAGUGUGCGAGCGGGCAGGGGCAGGAGCAUAAGGAGAAGGAGGGGGAGAACCUCAAGCAGACUUCCCGCUGAGUGCGGAGCGGGACCCGGUGCUCGAUCCCACGACCCUGAGAUCAUGACCUGACCCAGAAUCAAGAGUUGGAUGCUUAACCAACUGAGCCACUCAGGCACCCACCCCUCCCCCCUUUAAAAUAUUUUAUUUAUGAACCUGCCCCUUUUAGAGCAAGCAGCAAGCAAGCCUGCUCCUUGUCCCCAGGGAGACAUGACCUCAUCUCUCAGGGUUACUAGCUGAAUAGACAAUUCUGCCCCAGAGGAAGAUCAGACAGUGGGGAAAAAACUUUCGGUAAACGCUGGACGUGUGCAAAGCAACUGUUCGUGGAGACUGGAAAAGCCAGGAGGAAACCCCUCUGGCAAUCUGGGUGAAUGGGAGGUGGCAUUAUGCAGCGUGCCGCAAUUUGCAAAACUGUUGUCUGUAAUAACUUGGAAGACGGGACAUGCUGCUAAUAAACUUUUGGAUUUGGCUGAAGAAAUCACCCGACAGAACGUUGGAAGUGUCAGUUUGUUGGAUAUGUAUCAAAUGCAUAUGAUAAGGUAGAGGAAGACACAGAUGAGGUCCAAACGCAAACUCAUUAACUUGCAAGCAAAAUUUAGAGACAAUAUAAAGGAUCCAAGAGUUGCUGGGCUGGAAACUAAAAUUGCUUAUCUCCCCCAGUGUCCGUAGACAAUAAAAGAGUCUCAAAACGAAAUGAGGCCUGGGGCCAAGGUCCAAAUUAAGUGUGUGACUGUAAUGUCAUACUCAAGGUUACUGGAAGAUUGAAGGCAGCUCCAGCUAGACUCUCUCUCAGUAGACACAAGAGCAUUGUCCCACUACUGCCUGACUUAGGGCCCCAAAUAGAAAGAGACUUGUCUCAAAAAGAACUGUAAAUGUGACUUUUGCCCCCAUGAGUAGGCCUGUAUCAGAGUGACAGGAAACCCACAAAAUUUUAAAAAGAAUGUUGCCGGCAGAAGCGUUGCCAGGUUAGUCUAAAUGGGACAGAGACAUUCAAAAGGGCUCCCAACUCUCCGCAGGUAGGCGGCAGACUGAGAAAGCUACUCAGCUGCAAGAUGGGCCAUUUCUGAUGGAAAAGAGAAGUUGUUUCAAAUGGCCAAGCCAAGACCCCAGGGUGUAGAGCUAAGAGCCUCCGAGAGAAAUGGACUGGAUGCUUCUAUACCCAGGGAGCAGCAAUGGACCCGUCAAGAAACAUUCCCUCCUUCUGGUGCCUGCAUUUCAGAAUUGCCAUGCAACAGUGACUUCUAUGCCUCUCCCAAUUUCCCCUCUUGAUUAGGAGUAUCUACUGUGGUUAUCUUGCUUUACUAAUAUUUUGGGUGCAUCUGGGGGCAGAAAAUUUGCCUUUUUAAUUGAUGUAGUUAUCCAGACUGAGAGAAGCUGCACCUGAGGAUAGGUACGCAGGGAGCCUCGUUUAGACCUGAUGCAGAUGGUGAGAUCUCACACUUUGAGGAUGAUACCCCAAUUGGAUGAGACAUGUGGAGUUCCUGGGGUGGGGUGAGUGUGUUUUGCAUGAGGGAGGAAAAUAAAUAAUGCAUUCAGGUGGAAGAUGAUAGCUCGGGGAAAAAAAAAAAGGGGGCGUAUUUUACUGGCUUGCCCAUCAAGAAGUGGAGCUUAUUGUUCUGCUCUUCAAUGUGGAUUGGGCUUAUCAUGGGCUUUGAUGUAUGGGAUGCAGCAGAAGUGAGGUCAUAUGGCUUCCUAGCCUAGGGCCUGGGAGGUAUUACAGCUUCAGCUCUUGUCUUUUUGGAAUGUUGCCCUAUGUGAAAAGCCCAAGUGUGCCUGCUGAAGAUUUAUGGUCAGCCAAGACUUAAGUGAGGACAUUUCAUCCCAUCUGACCCGAGUAGUGCCACCGAAUAACUAGCCACAUGAAUGACCUUCGCAAAAAACCUGAUUGGCUUAGCCUUUGAAAUGACAAGCCUACAGAAUCAUGAAUCACAGCAAAAUAGUUGUUUUAAGCCACUGCAUUCUGGUGUGGUUUGUUAUGACCCCAAAGUAAUUGAUAUAAAAGCUCUUGAUGCAAAUUCACCCUGGGCAUAAAAUCCUUCCAGAAGAGCCUUGCACUUGGUACAACAUGGAAAACCGGAGUUGUGUCUACUAAAAGCUGGGCAUAUAGAGCCUAUUAUUCAGCAGCUCUGCUCUCAGGUAUACAAAACAGAAAUGUGUGUAUAUGUUCACCAAAAGAUAUAUGAAAUAAUGUAUAUUAGCAGCAUCUUUGUACUCCCGAACUGGUAACAUCCAAGUUCGCGUCAGUGGUAGAAUGGAUAAAUCAGUUGUGAUAGAUUCACACAACAGAAUGCUAUCUAUAUGGAAAGAAAACGAAGAAACUACUUCUUUAAACAAAUACAUGGAUAGAUCUCAAACAUAAUGCUAAGUAAAAAAGCCCAACCCAAAGCACAUUGUAUGAUUACCAGUUUAGAAUAUUGGAGACCUCUGUGGUGAAAGAGAUAGUAUGGCUGGACAGGGGCCCAUGUAGGGCUUCUGGGGGGCCAGUCACAAUCUGUUUCUUGAUAUGGAUGGGGAUUACAAAUGUGUGUUCAUUUUGUGAUAACUCAUCGAGUUGUAAACUUAUGAUUUACGUACUUACCUGUAUGUAUAAUUCAAUAAAAACAGUUUCUUUUGUUAAAAAAAAAAAAAAAAGGAUCUCAGAUUGAUAAAGGAAUUGGAGCUAGGGAGAAAUUUUUUUUUUUAAGGGAAAAAUUAUUUUUUUAUGCAAGAUCUAGGACUUCUUGAUUCAUACAUUCCAAUGUCUCAGGGGAGAACCUGGUUUUGUUUUGUCAAAUAUUCUCUCUCUGACAGUUCUGAUCACCCUUUAAUAAGUGUUUUCUUUCUAAAUCUAAAUCCUGCUUCAAGUACGACUAACAUCCUUUAUAUAAAAUUUGACCUAGAGUAAUCAAUGGCAGUACACAUCUUGUAAGGUUACUGGUCUAUAAAGAUGAAGCAAGAAUCUUUGGCUUUUUUGGGGGGGUGAAGGAGAGGAGGACUUGAGCCACCUAUAAGGGGGAAAAGAUCAGGCUGGCCUCUGAUUGUUCUAUAUCCUCUAUUUAUAAAAUUUAUAUAUGUUAUAAAUUUCAAGAGAAAACAUGUUUUCCAUGGAUGAUGUAUAAAAUUGUCUUGCGACCAGUACAGAAAUACUGCAAGGAAGGAGCAAAGAUGAGGUCCAGAAACAGGCUGGGGCCUGAUUACGAAACACUGGGGAUAUGCAGGUUUUGCAAUUUAUUUUUAUGCAAUAAUAAACAACAACAACAACAAUAAUCAUUCUGUGUUUUAUAAAGAAAAUGAGAUAUCUGUGUUUAAAAUGGCACAGUAGGAGAGUUUUUCUCCAGUCUCUUCUCUAAAAAUAUCUGAAAAUAAAAAUAAACAGAGAAGAAAACUCCAUAUUUGAAUAGACGAGGAGACAGUUGUAAUGCCGGAGCACAAGACAUGAGGUAGGGUGGCCAGAUUCAGGGAAGGUGAAACACAGGCUGGGGCAUCAAGAGACAGGACGCCUGGAGUGCAAAGCUCCCAGAAUGUUUGCAGGGCGAAACCAACCAUGGCUAAUUUGGAACAAAGGGAAACACACAGACCUGCUGUAUUUGCCAGAAGCAGUUUACCCAUAAAGAGGUGUAGAGAGACUCUGUUAUGGGUAGCACAGAAGUUACCAGUCUGGAUUGCCUGAGGAUAAGUAGACACCGAAAAACCCGAACCCAAACAAAAACCAAACAACAACAAAACAGCAAACAAGCAAAACACCUUGCUAGCACAAAAUCUGGUGUCAAAGGAACCUAACUAUAAACCAGGUACUCUAGAAAUUUCAUCCCUCUUUUAUGAAAUUUCUGCAAUUAGUUGGUGUAAAAAGAACUGAUUAUCCAACAAUGACUAAUACCAAGCAUCAGUAAUUUAUAAUUGGCAACCUAUGACAAAUUGUAACAAAUUAUAAUUGUAAUUAUACAAGGAACCUGGAAGAAGAAUAAAGAAAGAGGGAAAACAAAUGGCAGACAAAAAAAAAAUACUCAUCAGAAAAGGAUUACCUCAGAACAGUUGAAAAUUGUGGCCAAACAUGAGCACCAUUAUACAACUAAAAAUCACAGCGAAGUAAUGCUCCAUUUGAUGGUGUCUAUAAAACAAGAGCUCAGAGAAGAAAUAUACAAAAUUCGGGAAAAAUAUAGCAGGGCAACAGAAGGAGAUGAAACAUAAACUAACAGACUUCGGAGAAGAGGAAAAUAAAUUUUUACUAUUAUAGAAAUAAAAGCUUCAUUACAGUAGCUCCAAGUAGCAUAUGGAUAACACUGAGAAAAGCAAACAAAAUGUAAUACAAAUGAGCAUACUUAAGAAGCCUUAGAAAGAAAUUGAGAGCAAUGGAAGACAAAGGAUAGUUAACACAAUGCGUAAGUGAUUGUGUGAAAAAGAGAACUGAAAUCAGGGGACUGGAGAAAUAUUUAAAGGAAUGUUUAAGAAACAUUUCCAGGAGUAAAAGAGGAUUUGAAUGUUCAGGAGUCACAGAAAAGAAACAAAACAUUCCAGAUAUUUAUUUAUUUAGUAGUAGUAGAAGACUUGAAUCUGGACCCAUUUAUCUAAGAAAAAUUUGACAUGGACUAAUCAACAGCAGUACAUACCCUGGUAGGGUUACUGUUCCACAAAGAUGAAGCAAGAUUCUUUGGCAUGUUUUGGGGGAGGGAGGGUAGGACUUACGCCACCUGUAAGGAGGAAAAGAUCAGACUGGCCUCUGUUCUACAGAACCUUCAGUGUUAGAAGACAAUGGAGCUUUGUUCACAAAAGCCCUAGAGAAAGAAAAGUGUGACUCAAGCAUUUUUUUUUUUAAAUAUACAAGCAACAUACAAAUCUUUUGAAUAAUCAAGAAGGUAGGAACUUUAACUUUAAUGAGCAUUUCUCUAAGAAAGUACUCUAGAACAAACUUCAGCCCAGUGGAAGCUCAAUGGAAAAAUAACAGCAUGAACGUGAAUCCUACUCAGAGAAUUAUGACUAGUACAGGUCUCGUGUAAUGAUUGAGGAGUGAAAAAUGCAAACUAUAAACUCUGACUAUGUAAAAAUGAUGUAACUAUCGAAAUCUGGGAUGGUGAGGUAGUAAGAGGGUAGGAGGUGAUCUCAGUACUGGAAUUGCAACGCUUGAUGUUAAAGGUACAAGAAAUCAUUGAAAUCUGGCAUGUCAACACACGUAAAAUAUAUUUAAAGGAUAAGGAUAAACACUAAGAGAAAUGUUCAAUUAACAAAAAUAAGGCAAUGGUGGGGAUGUGGAAGAAAAAAAAAGUCUAUUAAUUUUAUAGUUGCUCAUAAUGGGAGUAAUUGAUACUGUCUAAAAACAAAUGAUUAAGUAAACUGUAUGGAAUUAUAGCUAUAAAGAAUUCUGUAACAAUAAUCGCCUCUAGGAUUAAGAAAUGGGUGCUGGGAAGACAGCAGAAGGAGGCAUUUUUUACUCUACACUCUUACAUCUUUUGAAUUUUAUGCUAUGUUCAUUGCUUAGCUACUAUAAAAAGAAAGAAUAGAAAAAUACAAAAUAAUGAAAAAAGCAAAAUUAUAGUUAUGGAUGUGCCCAUUAGAACAAAAACAUGAAGUUUUCCAACUAUUAAGAAAACACAUAUACUAAAACUAAAGAAAUUGCAGCCCAUAGAAUGAGAGUAUUUUUAAAGGCAAUGAAAACAUUAGUAAUAUAACAAAAUAGCUGGACAGAACCAAGACCACACAUAUGGCUCAUAUUCAUAAAUGUUGGUGGGUUAGUCUCACCUAAUAACAACAAUAAAAAAGACUGAUUGAAUGGCUAUGCAAAAUACGACUACCUACUGUCUGAAGGAAACUUAUCUAAAACAAAGUGAAGCAGAAAAUUGGGAAUAUAAAGAUGGACAAUUGCAUCAACCUAAUACCAAUUGAUAAGAGACUACGUCUGUGUAAUAAAAAGCAUAAGCUACUAUUUGUAUCAAAAGGUAAGAAAACAAUAUAUAUAAAUAUAUAUAUGUAAAUAAUAUAAAUAUGUAUUGUUAUAUAUAAAAUAUAAAUACUUUAUAUGCAUAGUUACCUGCUUUACAUUUUGGGUUUUUGUACCAAAUGCAUAUAUUACCCAUUGUAAAGAACAAGCAAAUAACUUAUUUUAUUUAAAAUUAAAAAAAAAAUUUAUUUAUUUAUUUGGGGGGGAGGGGCAGAGGGAGAGGUGGAGAGAGAAUCUCAAGCAGAUUCCUCACUGAGUGCAGCACCCAAUGUGGGGCUCAGUGUGGGGCUCGAUCCCACAACCCUGAGAUCAUGACCUGGGCCGAAACCAAGAGUUGGCUGCUUAACUGACUGAGCCCCCCAGGUGCUCCUGCAAAUAACUUAUUUUAAAAAGAAAAUAAUGUUGGUAGCAAUGGGGACUAUGGAUUUGAGGAUAUAGCUGAAGCUUGAGAUAGGAAGACCAGCUAUACCUAGUUGGACCAGCUUAAAUUUGAAAGGAUUAAGGUAGAGGAUGGGGCAGUAGUAAGAAUUGGACCUUGCCCUAAUAUACUGUAAGAUGUAACUUAAAAAAAAAAUAUAUAUAUAUAUGGGGGCGCCUGGGUGGCUCAGUUGUUAAGCGUCUGCCUUUGGCUCAGGUCAUGAUCCCAGGGUCCUGGGAUCGAGCCCCGAAUCGGGCUCCCUGCUCGGCAGGAAGCCUGCUUCUCCCUCUCCCACUCCCCUUGCUUGUGUUCCCUCUCUCGUUGUGUCUCUCUCUGUCAAAUAAAUAAAUAAAAUCUUUAAAAAAAAUAUGGUGUUGUCUUAUUUUAAACCUUAUUUUAUUUUGUGCUUUUGGUUUAAGGUAAAGGAGAAUUUGACAGAAGUCUUAAGAAUCAGAAGAUGCUUCUAAAAACAAUUUUUUUCUGCAUUUCCAUUAUUAGGAAAUAAAUACUCACAGCAGAAAACUUGAAAAACAUGCAGAAAAAGUUAGAGAAGAAAAAUUCCUUUAAUUCUAAUACUGUAGGAUAGCCAGGGUUAUUAUUUUGUGUAUGUCCCACCAUUAUGUUCUCCCCCUUACAAACACAUGCAUGUUUUUAGAAGGAUCAUAGUAUACACAAUUUUAUGGCUUAAAAAAAAACCUUUGUUAUAUUGUAUAUAUUUCUCAAUGUUAUUAUAAAAUACUCUUCUACAACAUUUUUAAUGACUACAUAUUAUUAAAAUUCUUUAUUGUUAGACAUCUGGAUUAUUUAUAAUUUUUUUAAUUUAUAUACAACAUUGCAAUGAAUAACAGUGUACAUACAAAUAUACUUAAAUCUCU